AUGGAGAGCAAGAAGGAAGCCGUCGAAGCUAAGGCGGUUCGGGACAGCGCGCUCGUCAGCCAAUGCGUGCUGUCCCGCAGGGAUGCGUGCGAGGCGGAAGUGAGCCUAAAGGUGCUCCAGGAAGAACAGGUUGCGCAGGCGCGGCAACCCCGGCAGUGGGGGGAAGACCUCAAGACCCUCGAAGCGAAGCUUGCAGAACACGACUCCGAGUUGACGAAGGUGGCAGCUGAACAAGCCACGGAGCAUGGGCGCUUCGAAAUGCUGCAGCGUGGGGUGACCGAGGACCAAGGAGCUUACGCCAAGCACGUCUCCGAGGCAAACGCCAAGCUGGAUGCCAGGGAGAAGAAGAUCCAAGCUGACACCUAUGUGAAGGUAGCGGCGGACCACACCGCCUUCUCUUCUCUUGAGCCCAGGGCCCGCUAA
This 423-nucleotide ribosomal RNA is filed under the name Triticum aestivum (bread wheat). Its description in RNAcentral is "partial small subunit ribosomal RNA". The record is from RNAcentral. Lineage: Eukaryota; Viridiplantae; Streptophyta; Magnoliopsida; Poales; Poaceae.